GAAAGACUCUYGGCAACGGAUAUCUCGGCUCUUGCAUCGAUGAAGAACGUAGCGAAAUGCGAUACUUGGUGUGAAUUGCAGAAUCCCGUGAACCAUCGAGUCUUUGAACGCAAGUUGCGCCCGAAGCCAUUAGGCUGAGGGCACGCCUGCCUGGGUGUCGCC
RNAcentral lists this ribosomal RNA (162 nucleotides) under Aspalathus aspalathoides. RNAcentral describes it as "5.8S ribosomal RNA". It matches the Rfam family "5.8S ribosomal RNA". Rfam says of the family: 5.8S ribosomal RNA (5.8S rRNA) is a component of the large subunit of the eukaryotic ribosome. Lineage: Eukaryota; Viridiplantae; Streptophyta; Magnoliopsida; Fabales; Fabaceae. The record is from RNAcentral.